UACGUAGGGUCCGAGCGUUGUUCGGAAUUACUGGGCGUAAAGCGCGCGCAGACGGCCCGCGAGGUGUCACGUGAAAGCCCCGGGCUCAACCCGGGAGGGUCGUGGCAAACCGGCGGGCUUGAGGCCGGUAGAGGUGGGUGGAACUCCUGGUGGAGUGGUGAAAUGCGUAGAGAUCAGGAAGAACACCCGUGGCGAAGGCGGCCCACUGGGCCGGUACUGACGCUGAGGCGCGAAGGCGUGGGGAGCGAACGGG
This 253-nucleotide ribosomal RNA is filed under the name uncultured bacterium. RNAcentral's name for it is "partial 16S ribosomal RNA". It matches the Rfam family "Bacterial small subunit ribosomal RNA", at positions 524 to 776 of the family's 1533-position model. The record is from RNAcentral.